AUAAAAAAAAUCCAGUACACUUGAGGAAUGUUAACUAUAGUCUAGAAUAAAAAAAGAAUUAUCCCUCCUUGUUGUUCAAGUUCCUUUUGUUCUCGGUUCAGGCAGCCUUGAUUUCUAUGUGAAACUUGAUUGUUGAACAAUUUUUUUGUUGUUCUAAGUUCUUGAUCCUAAGUUUCACUCCUUGAUCUAUUAUGAUGUGGGGUUUUAAAGCAUGCUCCUAUGUUCUUGAGCUAUACAUGUGAUGCAAAAGGGAGUUGCUGGGAUUACCUUAGCUUGGGUGUAUCCUCUUGGUUCCUUGACUGCCACUCCUUGCUCCUCUCCCUUCCCCUUGCUGCACUCUUUGUUGUUGUAUGCAACUUAUGGUGCUGAAGUGAGAUUUUGAUCAAGGACAGACAGCUCUUCCUUGGCUCUUUGUUAACUACUUUUGACAUUUUGUGCAUAGAAGUGUUGUUAGCUAAAGAAGUGACAAUCGGUUGGAGUCUUUGGGGAUGUGGCAUGGCUGGUAGUCCUUUAGGGAGUCAAACAAGCUGUCCCCUAACAGCUGAUCCAUUUUGGCAGGGAAGUUGGAGGAUGCAUGUGCUGAAAAGAGAGGUGGCAGACUUGUCUUGUUUUGGUGCUUUAGGGAAAGAGUCGAGCUAGCUGGAUUCAACAUGGGCUGAAAAUAAAAAAUUUUAGCUUGCUAAGAAGAGGCCCAAAAUCUAUGUACACUCUUUUUUUCAUGAUAGUUCUAUGUUCUUGAUCCAAAGAUGGAUCAUAUAGAGUUGGUAACUUGUAAAAACUAGUAUGGGUUUUUUUAUUCCCUCUUGAUUCAUUUAUA
This is a long non-coding RNA of Salvia splendens (bonfire salvia), 817 nucleotides long. RefSeq lists it as uncharacterized. The record is from RefSeq and is a predicted model, not a curated record. Lineage: Eukaryota; Viridiplantae; Streptophyta; Magnoliopsida; Lamiales; Lamiaceae. The transcript has 4 exons.